GACGAACGCUGGCGGCGUGCUUAACACAUGCAAGUCGAACGGUGAAGCGCCUUCCUUUUUGGUGGGUGUGGAUGAGUGGCGAACGGGUGAGUAACACGUGAGUAACCUGCCCCCUUCUUCUGGAUAACCGCAUGAAAGUGUGGCUAAUACGGGAUAUUCUGGGUCUGUCGCAUGAUGGGUCUGGGAAAGAUAUUGUUUCGGUGGGGGAUGGGCUCGCGGCCUAUCAGCUUGUUGGUGGGGUGAUGGCCUACCAAGGCGGUGACGGGUAGCCGGCCUGAGAGGGUGGACGGUCACACUGGGACUGAGACACGGCCCAGACUCCUACGGGAGGCAGCAGGGGGGAAUAUUGCACAAUGGGCGCAAGCCUGAUGCAGCGACGCCGCGUGAGGGAUGGAGGCCUUCGGGUUGUGAACCUCUUUCGCCAGUGAAGCAGGCCUGCCGCGUGUGUGGGUGGGUUGACGGUAGCUGGAUAAGAAGCGCCGGCUAACUACGUG
Molecule: ribosomal RNA, 494 nt
Filed under: uncultured bacterium
Lineage: Bacteria
Description: partial 16S ribosomal RNA
Rfam family: Bacterial small subunit ribosomal RNA
Source: RNAcentral